AAAUAUGAAGCAAUAAUUUGCAGUUAGUUUCGGCCUAACCUUAGAUGUUACUUCGUCCUUAUUUU
RNAcentral lists this transfer RNA (65 nucleotides) under Ptychoptera qinggouensis. Its description in RNAcentral is "tRNA-Arg". The record is from RNAcentral. Lineage: Eukaryota; Metazoa; Arthropoda; Insecta; Diptera; Ptychopteridae.